This 465-nucleotide ribosomal RNA is filed under the name Vreelandella stevensii. RNAcentral describes it as "partial 16S ribosomal RNA". It matches the Rfam family "Bacterial small subunit ribosomal RNA", at positions 338 to 795 of the family's 1533-position model. Lineage: Bacteria; Pseudomonadati; Pseudomonadota; Gammaproteobacteria; Oceanospirillales; Halomonadaceae. The record is from RNAcentral.
CCUACGGGUGGCUGCAGUGGGGAAUAUUGGACAAUGGGGGGAACCCUGAUCCAGCCAUGCCGCGUGUGUGAAGAAGGCCCUCGGGUUGUAAAGCACUUUCAGUGGGGAAGAACUCGUGGUUGCUAAUACUCGGCAGGGAAGACAUCACCCACAGAAGAAGCACCGGCUAACUCCGUGCCAGCAGCCGCGGUAAUACGGAGGGUGCGAGCGUUAAUCGGAAUUACUGGGCGUAAAGCGCGCGUAGGUGGCUUGGUAAGCCGGUUGUGAAAGCCCCGGGCUCAACCUGGGAACGGCAUCCGGAACUGCCAAGCUAGAGUGUAGGAGAGGAAGGUAGAAUUCCCGGUGUAGCGGUGAAAUGCGUAGAGAUCGGGAGGAAUACCAGUGGCGAAGGCGGCCUUCUGGAAUGACACUGACGCUGAGGUGCGAAAGCGUGGGGAGCAAACAGGAUUAGAUACCCUUGUAGUC